RNAcentral lists this long non-coding RNA (3645 nucleotides) under Sorghum bicolor (sorghum). RNAcentral describes it as "long non-coding RNA (SBIC_LNC012148)". The record is from RNAcentral. Lineage: Eukaryota; Viridiplantae; Streptophyta; Magnoliopsida; Poales; Poaceae.
CUCUAUAUGUAUUAUUGCAUGUACUAUGAUCAUCACUUGACUUGUUAUGUAUGGUCAUCACUGGACCUAUAUAUGUAUGCCUCUAUGUACCAUGAUCUGCACUUGACCUGGUAUGUAUGAUCACCAUUGGACCUAUAUAUAUAUAUAUAUAUAUAUAUAUAUAUAUAUAUAUAUAUAUAUAUAUAUAUGGUUCUUUGUGCUAUGACCAUCCAGUUGGUGUAUGUAUGGAGAUCUGGUAUUUUAAUUCUGAUUAUGUGAAUUUGCUCGAUUAAUGUGAUGUGUAUUUAUUAAAAUUUUCAAAUUGUAUCUACACCCAACUAUCUGCAAUAUAGCUUUGCCGACACUUCUACUGUUGGACAAGGCAUGGUUUAUGAAACAUCCUAGAAACGGUUUCGUUAACAUACAAACUAUCGGAAAAGAUCCAAACUGUCGGCGUAGGUCUAAAUUGUCGGCAAAGGGUUGACUGUCAGUAAAAGUUAAACUGUCGGUGUAGGUACGAGAUUUGGCUACACAAUAAGUGUCGGCGAUGCCAUUAACUGUCGGCAAAACUUUUGCCGACUGCUUCUACCGCGACUGUUUGUAAAUUGUCGGCAAAACCUUUUGUGAGACGUUAAGUGUCAGCAAAGGUACCCUUUGACGACAGUUCGAAGUGUCGGCAAAGCCAUGUUGUGUUAUAGUGUGUCGACAAUUCCCCUAAGCUUACCUUUUGCCACUCCCUUGGCAAACCAAGCCUAAGCAGUAUAUGUAUUUGGAUCAAGAGUUGCUACAAUGUUUUCAUUCUUUCCAAGUACACAUGCUCCCAAACACAGAUUCUCCUCCAGAUUAGUUACUAACUACUCUAAUCUUCAUACUUACUUGUUUUACCUUUAACCAUGGGGCUUUACAACUUUUGCAUGAGUCUUGAGCAAUCAGACAGAACAAUCAGGUCAAGCACUAUAUCUCACAUUCUUUGCAAAACCAUUAUUCCAGAGUUUUUAUAAGUUUUCAGAAUAAAACUUGGAGCUUAAUUGUAUGAUACCCUCAAAUCUCUCAAUGUAUGUGGUAUUUAUGGUUCUCUCUUGAGGCAUUAAUGAUGUUAUGCCUCCUAUAGCUAAAGGUAUAUAUGGUAGAGCUUAUAGGAGUGCCAAUAACAAGGAUAGGCAUACUUGCAAUGCAUGUAUUGUAAAGUUAACUAAUGGAUCCAUAGAGAAUCGAGGCAUACAAUCAAACCAAGAUGUGCAUGUGUAUGGAAUAUGGUGGAUAGGUGCAUUUGUGGUAUUUGUGGCUAACUUCUAUUUCUUUGGGAACAUGUCUCUAUUGAAACUUUUCACGAAAGACAUGGGCUAUCUUUAUUAUUUAUUUUUUUUUUUAUUCAAGGAGGUGGGCAUCUAGUACCCAUUGUUUUAAUUGCUGGGACACUUGUCCAUCUUUUACUCCCUUUUCUUCUUUUAUAUUUAUUUGCAUAGCCACAUGUCUCCUUUGAAUAUAAUAAAUGAUCAGAGAGGUAAUAAUAAGAACUUAGGGCAUUUAUGAUGGGCUUUAUCCUAUGGGUAUGGUUUAGGAGAAAAACAUGAUUGCUAAACAUGGAAUGGAAAUGAUUGCGAUUACUCCUAGUGUAGGAAUAAUGCAUAUGCCAAUUGAAGUGUGUACGUGAUCUUGGUUUUAAAAGCAUGAUAAGACUCUUGUAAGGUAUACUACAAAGGUUAAAUAAACUCAAUGCAAAGCAAGCAGCAUAAAUGUGCAAAAGUUUUCCUAACUCUAGAUGUAUAUUAUAUAUGGCUUUGGUAGGAAUUCAAACUUGUCAUACAAGAGCUCAUCAUGUAGGAUUUUGGGUUUUCAAAAUAAAUCUCUAGAACUUAAUAAUGCUAGGAAUAAGAUAAAUAGCAGCUCAGACUUUCAAUGAUCAUAUCAACCAACUACCUAGACUUAGCUCAAACUUAUGCCUCCACAAGUUGUAGGUUCAAAGUAAACCUUCAAAUUAAAACAAUAAUGUCCAAAACUCGAGAGAAUCUAACAUCGAAAUCUAGGUACUUGUAAAGAACUACAACAGAUCAACUAUUUGUCAUCUCCAGGACAAUUUUAAUGUUCAUCAAUCUUUAAUUAGCUCUAGCCUAGACACACUCUAAUAUAAUUAACACUAAUACUUCUUUUUAUUGUUUUUUAGAUUUUAUUUAACCAUAGACUCAUAAAAGACUCAAUAGGCAUGGGGCAACAGGCAUGGACCUUCAUGAGCCCACAUAUUUUUGGUAUUUAUGAAUAUAUAUAUAAUAAGUAAAUCUAUUAAUCGCCUAGGUGUAGUCACCUAAUAACUAGGGGAUACUCCUCCCCCAAGCUGGAUGGUUGCAAUACAUGGUGUAGAUGUCCUUUAGAGUGAGCUAACUAGUAGCAGCCUAGUGGGUGCCACUAAUAGACUCUCUCCUUGCUAUGAUGUUAUUCCUGCAUAAAUACUCUCCACAAGGAGAAACCAAAACUCGAGAAUCGAAUUUGUUAAUGGGUUAGGAGUCAGCCAAAAAGUAAUUGAUCACCUUUAUGAGCUAGCUUUAAUGUUGUCUAAUUUAAACAUGAUUUCAAUUUUCUCUUAUUUUUGAAUUUUAUAUUUAUGAUGUAGGAAUUUAAAUAUGAAUGAUAUAUUUUUGUCAUUUUUAUUUUAUGCCACCACAGUGGAUGUUCCUUCAGAAAAUACCAUAGGGUAUCCACAUGGGGCUUGUGAUGCCAUGAGUAAUGCAGUAAAUAUUUUUUGUUAUUUUUUAUCUUUUAGUGUGUAAAAAAAUUAUGCUUCUAAAUAAAUUACAAAUGCAUUUAAUGAGAUAACUACAAUUUUAACCUUUUGGCUAGGGUUCGGAAUUUAAAGUCUACCGAUAGGACUUAGAUAGAGGAGAACACUUACUUAGUGGGUUCAUCGUCUGAGGUAACCUCAGUCAACUCCCCAUUCUGUGGUGAUGCCGCAAGUGCCUUCUUCCAUCUCGUUUUUGUUUCUUUUGCUUCUCUCUUUUCUGGUUCCAUCUCUUCAGUUUUAUUCUCUUUCUCCCAUGCUUCUAAUCGUGCUGAUAACUAGCGGAUGCUCUCCCCCAAGCUAGAUGUUUGCUUAUGGUUGAUUGUUGAAGCUGAGUGGUCCUCAUGGAGGAGCUCAUGCUUAUAAGAGCGAGUGUUGCCUGAAAUACAUCAAUCUCAUCACCUAAGAAGUUACUUCAUUAAUACAGGGGUCAGCUGUAUGUCAGAAAGGUGUACUUCAAGUGAUGAAGAUGAAGAUUCCUAGGUAAGCUGGCCCUUGGAGUCAUCCUGUAGAAAGCUCUGACAAAACACCAAAACUCAUGCAAUGAUAUUAGGAUAAAACGUUAAUGAUUACUGUUUUUUGAGGAUUGGGUGUUGUGGUGGUUUCAAAGUAUUUUUAAGACAGCAGUAUUGCAGCAAGAUGCUCAGUUAAUAUUUUUGGAUUUUAUGGGUUUAUAUGCAUAAAGUGCAAAUGCAUGAUAUAUAUUUUUAUUCUAUAGGCCACCACAGUGAGAACUAAUGGAUUAUGAGGAUGCUACUGUUGAUGUAAAAGCUGAUCUGCAAACACAAAGGGCUAAUACCCGAUUCAAACGUUAAGGCGUGCCAGCCGAUUUGACCAUACUAUCGGCAAAGGAGAUAACUCGAAUACUUUGGUCCCGACAACAGCGAUGCGCC